RNAcentral lists this ribosomal RNA (170 nucleotides) under uncultured Thiobacillus sp. Its description in RNAcentral is "partial 16S ribosomal RNA". It matches the Rfam family "Bacterial small subunit ribosomal RNA", at positions 1214 to 1382 of the family's 1533-position model. Lineage: Bacteria; Pseudomonadati; Pseudomonadota; Betaproteobacteria; Nitrosomonadales; Thiobacillaceae. The record is from RNAcentral.
UUCGACACGUCAUACAAUGGUCGGUACAGAGGGUUGCCAAGCCGCGAGGUGGGAGCCAAUCCCAGAAAGCCGAUCGUAGUCCGGAUUGUUCUCUGCAACUCGAGAGCAUGAAGUCGGAAUCGCUAGUAAUCGCGGAUCAGCAUGUCGCGGUGAAUACGUUCCCGGGUCUU